Molecule: ribosomal RNA, 448 nt
Filed under: uncultured bacterium
Lineage: Bacteria
Description: partial 16S ribosomal RNA
Rfam family: Bacterial small subunit ribosomal RNA
Source: RNAcentral
UGCCAGACUCCUACGGGAGGCAGCAGUGGGGGAUAUUGCACAAUGGGGGCAACCCUGAUGCAGCGACGCCGCGUGAGCGAUGGAGUACUUCGGUAUGUAAAGCUCUGUCAGCAGGGAAGAGAAUGACGGUACCUGACCAAGAAGCCCCGGCUAAAUACGUGCCAGCAGCCGCGGUAAUACGUAUGGGGCAAGCGUUAUCCGGAUUUACUGGGUGUAAAGGGAGCGUAGGCGGCAGGGCAAGCCUGAUGUGAAAGCCCGGGGCUCAACCCCGGGACUGCAUUGGGAACUACCGGGCUGGAGUGCCGGAGAGGUAGGCGGAAUUCCUAGUGUAGCGGUGAAAUGCGUAGAUAUUAGGAGGAACACCAGUGGCGAAGGCGGCCUACUGGACGGUGACUGACGCUGAGGCUCGAAAGCGUGGGGAGCAAACAGGAUUAGAUACCCUCGUAUU